Molecule: ribosomal RNA, 1089 nt
Filed under: Triticum aestivum (bread wheat)
Lineage: Eukaryota; Viridiplantae; Streptophyta; Magnoliopsida; Poales; Poaceae
Description: partial small subunit ribosomal RNA
Source: RNAcentral
AUGGCGCAAGAUAAUACCAAAUUGUGUGAUUUCUCCAAUACAAAUAAUUAUGAUUUCCUUAGUACUCCGAUUGCUCCUCUUAAUGAUGUUGAGUCUUGUGAAAUCAAUGUUGCUUUGCUGAAUCUUGUUAUGAAAGAUCAAUUCUCCGACCUUCCUAGUGAAGAUGCCGCUACCCAUCUAAACAACUUUGUUGAUUUGGGUGAGAUGCAAAAGAAAAAAGAUGCGGCUAAUGAUAUUGUUAAAUUGAAGUUAUUUCCGUUUUCACUUAGAGAUCGUGCUAAAGUUUGGUUUUCGUCUUUGCCUAAAAAUAGUAUUGAUUCUUGGAACAAGUGCAAAGAUGCUUUUAUCUCUAAGUAUUUUCCUCCCGCUAAGAUCAUCCCUCUUAGGAACGAUAUUAUGAAUUUUAAACAACUUGAUCAUGAGCAUGUUUCCCAAUCUUGGGAAAGAAUGAAAUUGAUGAUUCGCAAUUGCCCUACUCAUGGUUUGAAUUUAUGGAUGAUCAUACAAAAAAUUUAUGCCGGAUUGAAUUUUGCUUCUAGAAAUCUUUUAGAUUCGGCCGCUGGAGGCACGUUUAUGGAAAUCACUUUAGGAGAUGCUACAAAACUUCUUGAUAAUAUUAUGGCUAAUUAUUCUCAAUGGCAUACCGAACGAUCUACUAGUAAAAAAGUGCAUGCUAUAGAAGAAAUUAAGGUUUUGAGUGGAAAGAUGGAUGAGCUUAUGAGAUUGUUUGCUACUAAGAGUUCUUCUAUUGAUACCAAUGAUAUGCAUUUAUCUACCUUGAUUGAGAAUAAUAAUGAAUCUAUGGAUGUAAAUUUUGUUGGUAGGAAUAAUUUUGGAAACAAUGCUUAUAGAGGAAACUUUAAUCCUAGACCGUUCCCUAGCAAUUCCUCUAAUAAUUAUGGAAAUUCCUACAAUAACUCUUAUGGUAAUUUUAAUAAGAUGCCCUAUGAUUUAGAAAAUAGUGUGAAAGAAUUUAUGGUCUCUCAAAAGAAUUUUAAUGCUUUGCUUGAAGAAAAAUUGCUCAAAGUUGAUGAUUUGGCUAGGAACGUUGAUAGACUUUCGCUUGAUGUUGAUUCUCUUAAAACUUAG